UUUAAGUGUAGUUAUGUGUUUCUAUAUUCAAUGUUUGGCCGUCCAUCUUAUUUAAAUUUUUUUAUGAUUAAUAUUUUUGUUGUUGUUACUAGACGAUAAAACAUGAAUAGUACUUUAUACGUGACUUAUUAUUAAACUUUUUUUACAAAAUUUUCAAAUAAGAGGGACGAUCAAACAUUGCAUAUAGAAAUUCACAACUACACUUGAA
This is a non-coding RNA of Oryza meridionalis, 208 nucleotides long. The record is from Rfam. Lineage: Eukaryota; Viridiplantae; Streptophyta; Magnoliopsida; Poales; Poaceae.